UUGGUUGCGAUCUGGUUACCAUGGAUCACCCGGGCACAGUUAACAGUAACCACCUAUAGUUUGUGGAAGAAACCGUUGAAAGAUAGGUGCUGUUAUCUCUGGGACAAGCAGAGGGAACAAAUAUCUGGCACCAGCUGUGGGGAAUUCAGAAGCAGACUUGGACUUCACUUUGACGGAAGGCUCGUUGGACUAACCCCCGACGACUGGGCCAGCAGCACAGUUCCCCAGGCCUCUGCAGCCCUGUGUCCAGUUCACCUCUGCGUUGCUUCGAGGACCAUUGGAGAACAAGGUCUCGAAAUGGCAGGAGGUCUGGAAUACCUCUCUAGAGUCCGGGGCAAGGUGUGCCUCUCCUCUCUCGGCUCUGGACUGCUGGGGCAUUAUUUCAGAGGGAGCUUCUUACAAUCAGGGAGCACGUCUUGAGCUUCUACUGUACUUUCCCAACCACGAAGAAGAGUGCGUCACACUGGACGGGAGGUGCCUCCACGUCCACCUGAGAAAGUACCACAGCGACUUGGGGCUCGGGAUGACGUUGAAGGGAGUGGGCAGGGUCCCUCCUUCCUCAAAGUAACUCAUCCACAGCUUGGUUCGGGCAAACUUCCAUUCGAUGUCCGCGUGAUCCUAGACCCAAGAAGACGACGUCAGCUGACCAACCGCCCGCCGAACCAGGUGGAUCCAGCAGCUAACCUGUUCGAAAUUCAUCCUCUGCCAACAACACAGUCCUUUAAUCCAGCAGAAAGACUCUGUCUCCUCUGGCUCGGUACAUCACUUCUGAGCCUUCGCAAGGGGUUAGCACAGCCUCCUCAGGCCCCCAAGGCAGCAGAUGAACCCUGUACGGAAACCAGAUGACUCCCUCUUUCAGAGCAAUGACUGGAAACCCACAUCAGGAGUGAUGACUCGCCCCUCCACCCAGACGUCCUCCUUUCCAAGCAACUAAGGAGGCUGAGUCGCCCGCACACUGGAAGCCGUCGCAGGCCAGGAAGUGACUUCAUUAAGGCAUCCGGACCUCGGGUGAGAGGGCCAGUGGAAACUACCGAGUCACAGUGCCGGUGCCUAUUCUGAGCAAAACAGCUCUUUAAGGCUACACUUACCAACCUCCUAAUACAGUGCUCUGCAUACAGUAAGCGCGCAAUACAACUGACUGACUCCACUUCCCUUUGGUGAUAUCUGGCUCAACGAGCAAUCGCCGGGUGACGCUAAACAGCCAGUGAGAGCUUCAGGAAUACAUCUUACUCCGUGUCCCUUGAGACCGAAAUGGGGGGGGGGGGGGAGCCAAGAAAUAUCUGACGUUGAAAGUGACACCCCAGAUACACAAAUCACAAGUCCUAUUAAAAGAAAGGUGAGCGGC
This is a long non-coding RNA of Ornithorhynchus anatinus (platypus), 1345 nucleotides long. RefSeq lists it as uncharacterized. The record is from RefSeq and is a predicted model, not a curated record. The transcript has 8 exons. Lineage: Eukaryota; Metazoa; Chordata; Mammalia; Monotremata; Ornithorhynchidae.